GGAGGGAUGGCAGAGCGGACGAAUGCACCGGUCUUGAAAACCGACGUGGGGCAACUCACCGUGGGUUCAAAUCCCACUCCCUCCGC
This 86-nucleotide transfer RNA is filed under the name uncultured Acidimicrobiaceae bacterium. Its description in RNAcentral is "tRNA-Ser". It matches the Rfam family "tRNA". Rfam says of the family: Transfer RNA (tRNA) molecules are approximately 80 nucleotides in length. Their secondary structure includes four short double-helical elements and three loops (D, anti-codon, and T loops). Lineage: Bacteria; Bacillati; Actinomycetota; Acidimicrobiia; Acidimicrobiales; Acidimicrobiaceae. The record is from RNAcentral.